GACGAACGCUGGCGGCGUGCUUAACACAUGCAAGUCGAGCGAUGAAGCUCCUUCGGGAGUGGAUUAGCGGCGGACGGGUGAGUAACACGUGGGUAACCUGCCUCAUAGAGGGGAAUAGCCUUUCGAAAGGAAGAUUAAUACCGCAUAAGAUUGUAGUACCGCAUGGUACAGCAAUUAAAGGAGUAAUCCGCUAUGAGAUGGACCCGCGUCGCAUUAGCUAGUUGGUGAGGUAACGGCUCACCAAGGCGACGAUGCGUAGCCGACCUGAGAGGGUGAUCGGCCACAUUGGGACUGAGACACGGCCCAGACUCCUACGGGAGGCAGCAGUGGGGAAUAUUGCACAAUGGGGGAAACCCUGAUGCAGCAACGCCGCGUGAGUGAUGACGGUCUUCGGAUUGUAAAGCUCUGUCUUUAGGGACGAUAAUGACGGUACCUAAGGAGGAAGCCACGGCUAACUACGUGCCAGCAGCCGCGGUAAUACGUAGGUGGCAAGCGUUGUCCGGAUUUACUGGGCG
This 515-nucleotide ribosomal RNA is filed under the name uncultured Clostridium sp. RNAcentral describes it as "bacterial SSU rRNA". It matches the Rfam family "Bacterial small subunit ribosomal RNA", at positions 28 to 560 of the family's 1533-position model. The record is from RNAcentral. Lineage: Bacteria; Bacillati; Bacillota; Clostridia; Eubacteriales; Clostridiaceae.